RNAcentral lists this microRNA precursor (81 nucleotides) under Saimiri boliviensis boliviensis (Bolivian squirrel monkey). RNAcentral's name for it is "miRNA (ENSSBOG00000007231.1)". The record is from RNAcentral. Lineage: Eukaryota; Metazoa; Chordata; Mammalia; Primates; Cebidae.
UAGGCUGGUGCAAAAGUGAUUGCAGUUUUUGCCAUUACUUUCAAUGGCAAAAACUGCAAUCACUUUUGCACCAGCUUAAUA